GUCUAGAUGUCUCUCCAAAGCCUCCUGAGUCAUGGGUGGGGCCUUUCGGAGGUAGCUGGAUCUUAAAUGUGUGAUGGAUGGUGGGAUCAAGGGUAUAUGAUUACUAAAUUAGUGCAUUGCUGGGUUUGGCAUAGUUCUAGAUAGGAUUAAGGGUGCCCCGCCCUGGUGUGUGACUGCUACCUGCCCUGAGAGUGGGUAGACUGGCUCAGAUAAAACGGACAGAAAGAGGUUCACCAGUGGUAGCUACUUCACUGCUCCUUACCUUCACUGCUGGUUACCUUCUACCCACCCUGCUUUGCCAUGGACUGUUUCUUCUCUGUGAUGCCCCUCUGCCAUGCCAACCAGCCUUGGAGAAAGCUCACUACAGACUGAAACCUCUGCAAACUGGUGUUAUAACUUUGACAUGGUGAGCAAGCUUUGACCCUGGAGAAGAGGCCAAUAUCCUAGAAAAAAGAGCAAAAAUAUAAUUUGGAGAAGAUUCCUAAAGAAUUGUCAAGCCCUGCCCCACUAAACUCCUGUCAGGUUGAACUUCUAUGUGAAUGAAAAAUAAAUCUAUCUUGUUUCAUCCUCUGCUAUCUUCAUCUUUCAUAAUGCAGCUUCAUCAAUCUUGAUUCUAGUUUUUAAAUAUUGUUUAGCCCUUACAUAUACAUUUCUUUAAGCUAUUUCCAGUGUUUUUGUUGGAUGAAAUGAUGGAGAUAAGUAAGAAGAAAAGCAAAGAAAUGAAAGAAAA
Molecule: non-coding RNA, 730 nt
Organism: Heterocephalus glaber (naked mole-rat)
Lineage: Eukaryota; Metazoa; Chordata; Mammalia; Rodentia; Bathyergidae
Source: RefSeq, a predicted model, not a curated record